Molecule: unclassified non-coding RNA, 245 nt
Filed under: Ascomycota sp.
Lineage: Eukaryota; Fungi; Ascomycota
Description: partial contains small subunit ribosomal RNA, internal transcribed spacer 1, and 5.8S ribosomal RNA
Rfam family: Eukaryotic small subunit ribosomal RNA (bases 1-47)
Source: RNAcentral
AAAGUCGUAACAAGGUCUCCGUUGGUGAACCAGCGGAGGGAUCAUUACCGAGUUUACAACUCCCAAACCCUAUGUGAACCAUACCUAUCGUUGCUUCGGCGGGUCACGCCCCCGCGCCCUCGCGGCGCCGGGAACCAGGCGCCCGCCGGAGACCCCAAACCCAAUGUUUUUCAUGCAGUAUUUCUGAGUGGCAAACGCAAAAAAAAAAUAAAUCAAAACUUUCAACAACGGAUCUCUUGGCUCUG